AUACCACACGCUGGCCCAUCAUUUCCUUCUGGUUACCCAGGUGUUCCAAAAGAUCCCCCUCCAGUGAUACACUCCGUUCUCCAGGGCUCAGAUCUGAAAGUGUAGCUAUGUUACCUGGGAGAGAUGACAUGAACACACCAUUUUCCCAAGCAGGGCAACCAUCAAGGUUUACUCUGAUGGAUACCCUGACUGGUCAAUGGGCAGACAGGCCACCACCCCCUCCCCUCUGGAAACAGGUGGCACACACAGAGGAGAGUUACAUCAGAGUGCAGGGCAGGACAAAGGGGACCAGCAAGAAAUGGAGAGGCACCUGGGGUCAGCCCUUGCAGGAAGCCCUGACCACUCCCAAACUGAAUGGGAAAAGCGGGACAGGUGCUGUUGGACCCCAGAGACAGCUGGGGCAUGGAAAGAGGCUCUGCUUUCCAGAAGCUGUGGGCAGACAGCCAUGACCAGACCUGCAGUGGAGCAGGACCCUACAUGGCAAAAGGCUUGGCAGACGUGAC
This 503-nucleotide long non-coding RNA is filed under the name Homo sapiens (human). RNAcentral describes it as "long non-coding RNA NONHSAT203603.1". The record is from RNAcentral. Lineage: Eukaryota; Metazoa; Chordata; Mammalia; Primates; Hominidae.